AUAAAAAUUCUUUAGAAAGAGAUUUCAUGCAUAUAUGGUGGACAUGUCCAGUCAUUAGAGAAUAUUGGGAUGCAAUUUGUAACCAAAUAUCACAAAUGGUUGGAUAUUCAUUUCCAAAUGGAUCCUUUGGUAAGCCUCCUGGGGCUUCUUAGGGGAAAUGGUCACACAAACAUUGGCACUGGAACU
Gopherus evgoodei (Goodes thornscrub tortoise) is the source of this 186-nucleotide long non-coding RNA. RefSeq lists it as uncharacterized. The record is from RefSeq and is a predicted model, not a curated record. Lineage: Eukaryota; Metazoa; Chordata; Testudines; Testudinidae. The transcript has 3 exons.